GGGGAAUAUUGGACAAUGGGCGCAAGCCUGAUCCAGCAAUGCCGCGUGUGUGAAGAAGGCCUUCGGGUUGUAAAGCACUUUUGUUAGGGAGGAAAGUCUUGUAGCUAAUAACUGCGAGAUAUGACGUUACCUAAAGAAUCAGCACCGGCUAACUCUGUGCCAGCAGCCGCGGUAAUACAGAGGGUGCAAGCGUUAAUCGGAAUUACUGGGCGUAAAGGGUCUGUAGGCGGAUUAUUAAGUCGGAUGUGAAAUCCCCGGGCUCAACCUGGGAACGGCAUUCGAUACUGGUAGUCUAGAGUGUGCAAGAGGAUGGGGGAAUUCCUGGUGUAGCAGUGAAAUGCGUAGAGAUCAGGAGGAACAUCAAUGGCGAAGGCACCUUUCUGGGGCAACACUGACGCUGAGAGACGAAAGCGUGGGGAGCAAAC
RNAcentral lists this ribosomal RNA (425 nucleotides) under uncultured bacterium. RNAcentral describes it as "bacterial SSU rRNA". It matches the Rfam family "Bacterial small subunit ribosomal RNA", at positions 356 to 773 of the family's 1533-position model. The record is from RNAcentral.